RNAcentral lists this transfer RNA (73 nucleotides) under Camelus bactrianus (Bactrian camel). It matches the Rfam family "tRNA". Rfam says of the family: Transfer RNA (tRNA) molecules are approximately 80 nucleotides in length. Their secondary structure includes four short double-helical elements and three loops (D, anti-codon, and T loops). Further hydrogen bonds mediate the characteristic L-shaped molecular structure. tRNAs have two regions of fundamental functional importance: the anti-codon, which is responsible for specific mRNA codon recognition, and the 3' end, to which the tRNAs corresponding amino acid is attached (by aminoacyl-tRNA synthetases). tRNAs cope with the degeneracy of the genetic code in two manners: having more than one tRNA (with a specific anti-codon) for a particular amino acid; and 'wobble' base-pairing, i.e. permitting non-standard base-pairing at the 3rd anti-codon position. The record is from Rfam by way of RNAcentral. Lineage: Eukaryota; Metazoa; Chordata; Mammalia; Artiodactyla; Camelidae. RNAcentral also lists the same sequence under 2 other names.
GAGGGUAUAGCUCAAGUGAUAGAGUGCAUGCUUAGCAUGCAUGAGGUCUUGGGUUCAAUCCCCAGUACCUCCU